GACGAACGCUGGCGGCGUGCCUAAUACAUGCAAGUAGAACGCUGAAGAGAGGAGCUUGCUCUUCUUGGAUGAGUUGCGAACGGGUGAGUAACGCGUAGGUAACCUGCCUUGUAGCGGGGGAUAACUAUUGGAAACGAUAGCUAAUACCGCAUAACAAUGGAUGACACAUGUCAUUUAUUUGAAAGGGGCAAUUGCUCCACUACAAGAUGGACCUGCGUUGUAUUAGCUAGUAGGUGAGGUAACGGCUCACCUAGGCGACGAUACAUAGCCGACCUGAGAGGGUGAUCGGCCACACUGGGACUGAGACACGGCCCAGACUCCUACGGGAGGCAGCAGUAGGGAAUCUUCGGCAAUGGGGGCAACCCUGACCGAGCAACGCCGCGUGAGUGAAGAAGGUUUUCGGAUCGUAAAGCUCUGUUGUAAGUCAAGAACGAGUGUGAGAGUGGAAAGUUCACACUGUGACGGUAGCUUACCAGAAAGGGACGGCUAACUACGUGCCAGCAGCCGCGGUAAUACGUAGGUCCCGAGCGUUGUCCGGAUUUAUUGGGCGUAAAGCGAGCGCAGGCGGUUUGAUAAGUCUGAAGUUAAAGGCUGUGGCUCAACCAUAGUUCGCUUUGGAAACUGUCAAACUUGAGUGCAGAAGGGGAGAGUGGAAUUCCAUGUGUAGCGGUGAAAUGCGUAGAUAUAUGGAGGAACACCGGUGGCGAAAGCGGCUCUCUGGUCUGUAACUGACGCUGAGGCUCGAAAGCGUGGGGAGCGAACAGGACUAGAUACCCUGGUAGUCCACGCCGUAAACGAUGAGUGCUAGGUGUUGGAUCCUUUCCGGGAUUCAGUGCCGCAGCUAACGCAUUAAGCACUCCGCCUGGGGAGUACGACCGCAAGGUUGAAACUCAAAGGAAUUGACGGGGGCCCGCACAAGCGGUGGAGCAUGUGGUUUAAUUCGAAGCAACGCGAAGAACCUUACCAGGUCUUGACAUCCCGAUGCUAUUUCUAGAGAUAGAAAGUUACUUCGGUACAUCGGUGACAGGUGGUGCAUGGUUGUCGUCAGCUCGUGUCGUGAGAUGUUGGGUUAAGUCCCGCAACGAGCGCAACCCCUAUUGUUAGUUGCCAUCAUUCAGUUGGGCACUCUAGCGAGACUGCCGGUAAUAAACCGGAGGAAGGUGGGGAUGACGUCAAAUCAUCAUGCCCCUUAUGACCUGGGCUACACACGUGCUACAAUGGUUGGUACAACGAGUUGCGAGUCGGUGACGGCAAGCUAAUCUCUUAAAGCCAAUCUCAGUUCGGAUUGUAGGCUGCAACUCGCCUACAUGAAGUCGGAAUCGCUAGUAAUCGCGGAUCAGCACGCCGCGGUGAAUACGUUCCCGGGCCU
RNAcentral lists this ribosomal RNA (1369 nucleotides) under uncultured bacterium. RNAcentral describes it as "bacterial SSU rRNA". It matches the Rfam family "Bacterial small subunit ribosomal RNA", at positions 28 to 1381 of the family's 1533-position model. The record is from RNAcentral.